UUUCCGUAGGUGAACCUGCGGAAGGAUCAUUCAUAAUAAAGUGUUUUAUGGCACUUUUUAAAAAUCCAUAUCCACCUUGUGUGCAAUGUUAGAUCUCGUCAAUCUUGGCGAGAUUUUUAUACAUCAACUCAUUCUUUAACUAAUUUGUCUGAAAAAUAUUAUGAAUACUUAAUUCAAAAUACAACUUUCAACAACGGAUCUCUCGGCUCUCGCAUCGAGAAGAACGCAGC
This 230-nucleotide unclassified non-coding RNA is filed under the name plant metagenome. RNAcentral's name for it is "partial contains small subunit ribosomal RNA, internal transcribed spacer 1, and 5.8S ribosomal RNA". The record is from RNAcentral.